CAGUCGCCGCGGUAAUACAGAGGAUGCAAGCGUUAUCCGGAAUGAUUGGGCGUAAAGCGUCUGUAGGUGGCUUUUCAAGUCCGCCGUCAAAUCCAAGGGCUCAACCCUGGACAGGCGGUGGAAACUACCAAGCUGGAGUACGGUAGGUGCAGAGGGAAUUUCCGGUGGAGCGGUGAAAUGCGUUGAGAUCGGAAAGAACACCAACAGCGAAAGCACUCUGUUGGGCCGACACUGACACUGAGAGACGAAAGUUAGGGGAGCAAAUGGGAUUAGAUACCCCUGUAGUCCCUGUCUCUUAUAC
This 301-nucleotide ribosomal RNA is filed under the name uncultured bacterium. RNAcentral's name for it is "partial 16S ribosomal RNA". It matches the Rfam family "Bacterial small subunit ribosomal RNA", at positions 509 to 807 of the family's 1533-position model. The record is from RNAcentral.